This 2079-nucleotide long non-coding RNA is filed under the name Homo sapiens (human). RNAcentral's name for it is "HSALNT0340890". Lineage: Eukaryota; Metazoa; Chordata; Mammalia; Primates; Hominidae. The record is from RNAcentral.
ACGGCAGCAAAGGACCCUGUCUUCACGAUAAACCGUGCAGUAUUUUGAAAACGAACAAACAAACAAACAAAAAAACGCCAUAAAAUCCAUGCUGAACAAAAUCUCAAAAUGUAAAUGCAGACAAGACCCAGUGCGUGCCUGUCUCAACCAUCACUCCAGUCCUGGCCCUGGAAGGAAAAAAAUUCAAAGAACACGUAUUUGGGAGAAACAAAGUAAAAUGUGCAAUCCUAACACAGUCCAUUUCUUUUUGUAAGUGCUUCUCACCACACCUUCAGCACGCACAGAGCAGGCCGCAGCUCCUGCAUCUUCAGCAGCACGCCGACCCGCCCCUCUUCCCCGCUGCACAGGCCACCUACUCUGAGUGUGCAUGCCUGGCUCUGGGCGGAGCACCUGCUCCAGCUCUGCAGGCCGCCCACACCCCGUGCCUGGCCUCUCCUCUUCUGACCUUUCCUUCCCCAUCUCGAGUCCCCUGGUGGUUAUUCCAAGUGUGUUCUUAGAUGUGGACAGACUAUUGCCUCCCGGUCACUGGAGCGUUCUCAAUACUUCAGCCAUCUGUGCAUGAUGGGUACAGUAGGAAUUGAAUUGUGCCAGUUGGUAACGGCUUCAGUAAGGGCUGCAGAGAAGAUACAGAACAGAAACGACCAGGAGCAGAUCCUCACGGAGCCCCCCGGCUAGUGAUGAGGAUCACUGUGCCCUGGACACGCAGACACAAGCAAUCUUCGCAUUGACCUUGUUCUGGGGCUCACUCUAAGCUAUCUCUGAAGAAAACCAUUGCCUAAUCUGGAGCUGCUACUACCAGAAAUAACCAUAGUCAAGGAAAACUCUACGUCCAAGUAAACUCAAGAUAUCAGGAAAUAAGAUUAAAAAGGAGUGUGGGGCUGCCACUGACAUUUUAAAAUCUCCUCUUUGUAUUCUCUAUUUUCAGAAAACAAUUUCAACAUCAAGCAUGAAGUUUAUGAUGAAUAUAGGAAAUAGAAGGAUGGUGAGGAUUGAGGAUUUUGUCUGUGGGAAAUUAUUAUUGUUCUGAUAUUUUAAAACAGAAGAGCCAAACCAAAACAACUGUUCUUUUGACUAAAAAGGUGAUGAGAGAUUUUUAGUGUCCCCACCACACAUGCACACACACACACAGGCACACACAUACACACCUGUGCACACACACACACGUAUGCACACGCGUACAUACAUGUACACACAUACACAUAUACACAUACACACAGGCACACCUGUGCCCACAGACACACAUAUACACACAUGCACACACACGUACACACGUACACACAUACCCAUAUACAUGCAUACACACGUGCGCAGACACACAUACACAGGAACACACACGUACACACAUGUACACACACGUAUACACAGAGACACACAGACACACACAGGCGCACACGUGCACACAUACACACACAUACACGCACAUCCGCGCACACACAAUGGCAACUAUGGGUGGGUUGGAUGUGUUAAUUUCUUUGAUUGUGGUAAUGAGUAUACAAUGUACGUGCAUAUGAAAUCAUGUUCUACACCUUGAAUAUACACAAUUUUUAUUUGUCAAUUAAAUAUUUUAAAAUUUAAAAAUAUUUCCCCUCAGGAAAAAAUUAAUAAACAAAAGUAGCAGAUUGGUUCCUUAGCAAUGUGAAUAUACUUAACACUACUGAACCGUACACUUAAAAAUGGUUACAGUAGUAAAUCUUACGUGUAUUUUACCAUAAUUCAAAACUUAAAUGUUUUUAAAGUGAAAAAGAGGCAGCAAUGGGGUUCUCACUUUAAGCUUCUCACCUCAUUUACCAGUAGGUAACUUGUUGGGGCUUUCCCAGUCAUUCUGCGUUGUCUAUGCAGGCAACUAUUUGCUUGAAUGUCCGUUUUCCAACAGAUGCCUUCCAACACGUGGAACACUCUGGAGUCAUUUCCCCAUGGGCUCCGGCUCUCCCUUCACACUGUGCUUCUGAAUAGUCUUGAAAGCAUUGCAGGAGACGACAGCACUUUCCUGCAGACACAACCACCUUGAGGGUUUCUUCUGACCUUUGCUCCUGAAAUCCUUUGCUGACCUUUCUGACUUUUGCUCCUGCAGCUGUGCUC